UCACUCAUUCAUUAAUCCUUUAAGGUGGCAAUUCUGUAAGCACUUACUUGGGAGUAAGACCCUCUAAAAUCAAUGGGAUAUAAAGCUGUGCGGAUUGAUAGAAUAGUGCUGUUGGUCAGCUUCUGUUCCCUGUGACAGGAAGAACUUUGAUAACCAAGAAAUAAGCCAACCAGAAAACACAAAUCGUGCAGGUACAUAUGUGACAACAUUGAGGAGACGAAUCGAGAACUUGAUUGGCAGCAAUUCCACCAUUUAAAGUUGUCUCGCAUUUGCGCCAGACAUUGAUGAGGGUAAAAUGCUGGACCAGAAUGAUUCUUACCAUUUAUCGAUGUGUCUCAGAUACAAGAUCUUCUUAGCUUGAGAAAUGAAGGGACACCAGUGUUUAAUAAAACAAUCACGAUGUGUAAUUCUAUUUGA
Rhineura floridana is the source of this 417-nucleotide long non-coding RNA. RefSeq lists it as uncharacterized. The transcript is spliced from 2 exons. The record is from RefSeq and is a predicted model, not a curated record. Lineage: Eukaryota; Metazoa; Chordata; Lepidosauria; Squamata; Rhineuridae.